This 253-nucleotide ribosomal RNA is filed under the name uncultured bacterium. Its description in RNAcentral is "partial 16S ribosomal RNA". It matches the Rfam family "Bacterial small subunit ribosomal RNA", at positions 524 to 776 of the family's 1533-position model. The record is from RNAcentral.
UACAGAGGUGGCAAGCGUUGUUCGGAAUUACUGGGCGUAAAGGGCGCGUAGGCGGCCUUCUAAGUCAGACGUGAAAUCCCCCGGCUUAACCUGGGAACUGCGUCUGAUACUGGGAGGCUAGAGUAUGGGAGAGGGAUGUAGAAUUCCAGGUGUAGCGGUGAAAUGCGUAGAUAUCUGGAGGAACACCGGUGGCGAAGGCGGGUCUCUGGGCAACAACUGACGCUGAGGAGCGAAAGCGUGGGGAGCGAACAGG